GUCCCUGUAGCUCAGCUGGAUAGAGCGCAGCCCUCCUAAGACUGAUGUGACCGUUCGAGUCGGUCCAGGGACG
Molecule: transfer RNA, 73 nt
Filed under: Candidatus Omnitrophota bacterium
Lineage: Bacteria; Pseudomonadati; Candidatus Omnitrophota
Description: Candidatus Omnitrophica bacterium (sediment metagenome) tRNA-Arg
Rfam family: tRNA
About the family: Transfer RNA (tRNA) molecules are approximately 80 nucleotides in length.
Source: RNAcentral